GGGAUUAGGGAUCUCCUGCCCUUGGUCCUAAGUGCCACUGCCUGUGCUGAGUUUUUCAAACCUCAGAGCAGAUUGAACUUUUGUGGUUUCAUUUUCCCUGAUUUUGAUUUUUCUCAUGUGGAACCUGUGUUGCUGCAUUCAAGGCCUCUAAUACCAGCAUUUUGGGAGGCCAAGGCAAGAGGAUCACAAGGUGAGCAGAUCAAGACCUACGUGGCCAACAGAAUGAAAACCUGUCUCUACUAAACAAAAAAACUUAGCCAGAACUUUAAGUAUGCACUUUCAGUACCAGAAUGAAUGCAUCUUUGUGAAGAUACCAUUUAUGUACCAUAACAUCCAAAGCAUAAUGAGGAGAUUUUGAUACACUGAAGAUUUAGAACUGAGUUGGAAAACAAAACUUCAACAUACUGUCUUGUCAGCACAAAGCAAAUAAAUUCAUCACU
Long non-coding RNA from Pan troglodytes (chimpanzee), 440 nucleotides. RefSeq lists it as uncharacterized. The transcript is spliced from 3 exons. Lineage: Eukaryota; Metazoa; Chordata; Mammalia; Primates; Hominidae. The record is from RefSeq and is a predicted model, not a curated record.